GUUAUUUUUCACCACAGACACAGCGACAAACACAAAUCAACAGAGAACUCUGUAAUGAAACAUUAUCUAACAAGUGUAAUUAAGCGGCUCUGUUGUAAAGGCUAACAGUUAGCACAAUGCCAUCAUGUCAGAGAGCAAA
Molecule: long non-coding RNA, 139 nt
Organism: Etheostoma cragini (Arkansas darter)
Lineage: Eukaryota; Metazoa; Chordata; Actinopteri; Perciformes; Percidae
Exons: 3
Source: RefSeq, a predicted model, not a curated record